AGUAAGUAAGCAAAUUAGUGCGUUUGAUUUAGGUUCAAUUAUAGGAUAUUUAUCACUUACUA
RNAcentral lists this transfer RNA (62 nucleotides) under Siboglinum fiordicum. RNAcentral describes it as "tRNA-Leu". Lineage: Eukaryota; Metazoa; Annelida; Polychaeta; Sabellida; Siboglinidae. The record is from RNAcentral.